RNAcentral lists this ribosomal RNA (434 nucleotides) under uncultured bacterium. Its description in RNAcentral is "bacterial SSU rRNA". It matches the Rfam family "Bacterial small subunit ribosomal RNA", at positions 917 to 1349 of the family's 1533-position model. The record is from RNAcentral.
GGACCCGCACAAGUAGUGGAGCAUGUGGUUUAAUUCGAAGAUACGCGCAGAACCUUACCAACACUUGACAUGUUCGUCGCGACUUUAAGAGAUUAAAGUUUUCGGUUCGGCCGGACGAAACACAGGUGCUGCAUGGCUGUCGUCAGCUCGUGUCGUGAGAUGUUGGGUUAAGUCCCGCAACGAGCGCAACCCUCACUUUUAGUUGCCAUCAUUAAGUUGGGCACUCUGAAAGAACUGCCAGUGAUAAGCUGGAGGAAGGUGGGGAUGACGUCAAGUCCUCAUGGCCCUUACGUGUUGGGCUACACACGUGCUACAAUGGUAUCUACAACAGGAAGCAAGACUGCGAAGUUAAGCAAAUCCUUAAAAGAUACCUCAGUUCGGAUUGCACUCUGCAACUCGAGUGCAUGAAGCUGGAAUUACUAGUAAUCGUGGAU